GUGGGGAAUAUUGGACAAUGGGCGAAAGCCUGAUCCAGCAAUGCCGCGUGGGUGAAGAAGGCCUUCGGGUUGUAAAGCCCUUUUGUACGGGAAGAAAUCAUUCGGGUUAAUACUCUGGGUGGAUGACGGUACCGUAAGAAUAAGCACCGGCUAACUUCGUGCCAGCAGCCGCGGUAAUACGAAGGGUGCAAGCGUUAAUCGGAAUUACUGGGCGUAAAGCGUGCGUAGGUGGUUGUUCAAGUCUGUCGUGAAAGCCCUGGGCUCAACCUGGGAAUGGCGAUGGAAACUGGGCGACUAGAGUGCGGUAGAGGAUGGCGGAAUUCCCGGUGUAGCGGUGAAAUGCGUAGAGAUCGGGAGGAACAUCCGUGGCGAAGGCGGCCAUCUGGACCAGCACUGACACUGAGGCACGAAAGCGUGGGGAGCAAACAGGAUUAGAAACCCAGGUAGUCC
Molecule: ribosomal RNA, 450 nt
Filed under: uncultured bacterium
Lineage: Bacteria
Description: partial 16S ribosomal RNA
Rfam family: Bacterial small subunit ribosomal RNA
Source: RNAcentral